RNAcentral lists this long non-coding RNA (855 nucleotides) under Pan troglodytes (chimpanzee). RNAcentral's name for it is "long non-coding RNA NONPTRT017124". Lineage: Eukaryota; Metazoa; Chordata; Mammalia; Primates; Hominidae. The record is from RNAcentral.
GGGCAAGAUCCAGCAGCCUCAUUUGAAGGAAGCUCUCACCACCCUGUUAUUGAUAGGCUGUGGAGGUCGCCAGUUGCUCACAAGAGGCACUGGGGGCUCGUUCUCAGCACUGGAGAGGAGGCUCCGCAGCUUGGCCAUCUGCAAAGGGCAGGGGCAGACUGUUAACAAGACAUUCGGAUCAACUGGACACACUACGUGACAAAGAGAAAAAUGCCAAUCACAGCGAUCCCAUCGCGCUGCUUCAGGGCUUCUUUAAAAGUGUUAUACUUCGGGUUCCAGUGAACCAAAUGAAGCUGAAACCAUAGACGACAGAUUAGAAGUUUUCACUGUAUGAGACUGAGAAUGGAUUACGGCAGUUCCUCUUACCUCCGCUGCAUACUUGACUCCAUCCACGGUGUGCUCAGAGCCAUGAUCAUCCGAAGAGCCCCAGUGAAGAUGAAACUGGCGAAGUCGGUAGGGUCCAGGGAGAGGACCCCCUCUCAGCACUGUGAUUCAGAUAAGCUUGGUCAACAGUGAAUUCAUGCUUCUUUUACAGAGCUCUACUUUAACCAAGUGCUCUUAGAGCCAAGGCUUAAUGGACAAAAUGUGGUCAGUUUGCUGGGUGGAUGGUGCCACUCCCAGGACACUGGACUCCUCACAAAAUGAAGUCUGGGGAUAUGUCAAGAUAAAUGAUUGUUCUUUUCUGUCUUUCUUAUUUUGUUUGCUUGUUUCAUUAUUAUUGAAACAUCAUUUUAACAUUUAGGAAAGCAAAAUGAAAACAACAGAUAGACAAUGAGGAUGCAUACACCAAAAGAACAGGUCAGUAGUGUGGUGCAGUGGGAAGAACUGGACAGUUGAGAACCAGGUGGAUGUAGG